Molecule: ribosomal RNA, 408 nt
Filed under: uncultured bacterium
Lineage: Bacteria
Description: bacterial SSU rRNA
Rfam family: Bacterial small subunit ribosomal RNA
Source: RNAcentral
UAGGGAAUAUUGGACAAUGGGCGCAAGCCUGAUCCAGCCAUGCCGCGUGAGUGACGAAGGCCUUCGGGUUGUAAAGCUCUUUUGGCGGGGACGCGGUACCCGCAGAAUAAGCUCCGGCUAACUUCGUGCCAGCAGCCGCGGUAAUACGAAGGGAGCUAGCGUUGUUCGGAAUCACUGGGCGUAAAGCGCACGUAGGCGGAUGUGUCAGUCAGGGGUGAAAUCCCGGAGCUCAACUUCGGAACUGCCUCUGAUACAGCACGUCUUGAGUCCGGAAGAGGUGGGUGGAAUUCCUAGUGUAGAGGUGAAAUUCGUAGAUAUUAGGAAGAACACCGGUGGCGAAGGCGGCCCACUGGUCCGGUACUGACGCUGAGGUGCGAAAGCGUGGGGAGCAAACAGGAUUAGAUACCC